UGUGUUGGCUGGGCCUGUUGAAAUUCUUCCCACAGCCUCAUGAGAGAAAGGGGCACACAGAGAAAGGAACAGGUGUUCAGGAUGUCUAUAUAUUAAAAAAAAGAAACACAUGCAAGAACUUCAUAAGAAAGUGUUUUAAGGAAUUGUAGACACAGGGGCUCAAGAAGGAAAUCUCUUUCUCCUUAAUGAAAAUAAUGUUGGGAAAAGAGAAAUUCAGGAAUUCUCUCCCCUAUGAUUCAUAUCCCCAGAUAUUCUCUGGCAUUCUCACUAUAUAGUUUCCUUUUUUUUUUUUUUUUUUUUUGUACUGUAUUGCUUUUUUUUUUUUUUUUUUUUUUCCCCCAGAAAGAGAAAAUCUUACUGGAGAAAACCAUGCCAAGCCUGAGAACAUUGAGUACCCAAGGCCAAGCUCAACAAGGGCAGAGAACUUUCCGGCAAGAAAUUAUCCCAUCUGUAACAAGGCCAGUCUCAUGGUCUACAGCUCACAAUUGGCAAGAAGAUAGCCCUCAGUAUUGUUCUAGCUUGUAUGGAAUAGAAUGAACAGAGUGAAAAAUCUCCAGGUUAUGAUACAAUCAAGGCCUUCCCUGUCUUCUUCCAUAAACAUCUGCCUCCCUUGUGACUAGCGGCUAUGGGCUACUCAAUUCUCAUCUCAGAAAUAUCGCAUGUAAUCCCCGGAGAGGAUAAAAAAGAUUAAAUGGACAUUCAAGGACCUGCACAUUUGGUCCCAGCAUCCUCCCAGUUCACCCCGUAGGCCACCCACAUGGACUCAUUGUCCUCAUUUUUGUGUUACAACUUUCGCACAUGCUACUUCCUUUGCCUGGAAAGACUUCUUUCUGAUUCUACUUGCCUGGAAAAGCCCAACCAUCCUUUAAGAAUCAGCUCAAAGGUCACCUCCUCUAUGAAGGCUCUCCUGUAUACUCAGUCAUUCACCCACACAUGCUUAUUGAGUACUGUUGUGCUCUUCAGCCAAGACUACCAUGAACCUGCCAGCAAUGAAACAAGGAGGCUCAGAAACUUCGUAUCUACCAGUGUGGCUGGUAUAGACUUUGGCUGCCAUUCACAGGGUCAACUGAGGCAAGCUUCUUGCCACCAUGUCACAUGAUCCCUGGCUGGAGAGGAUAAGUGAAGACCCCAAGUCACACCAGUAAUUCUCAGUCCCAGCUCCUGCUAUUUUUAUGGUCUUUCUUUUCCCCUAACAGCUGGACUGCAGCCACUGCUGGCUCCUACUUUUCAGACUGCUUUUCUUCAGUCUCCUCUUAGGCCUCUAUGACUCUUGAACCAACUCCAGCAUGUGGGUUUUCUUCCCCACACAUCUCAGCAGGUCUCUUGACAAGCUACGUGUCUAACAGUUCAACUCAGUUCUGACAUUAUGUACCUGGAGAUAGUGUGAGAUUCUAUAAGAAAGGGUUCAGUCCUACAGUCAUCUGCUUUCCAACUUCUGAUGCCAGGCACAAACCCGGGUUGUUACCUGUGCUUCUGACUGGCUAUAGAUUGGAGGUUCCAACAAUUCCCUCCUUGGGUUCAAUUAAUUUGCUAGAAUGUCUCAUAGAACUCAGAGAAACAGUUUACUUACUAGAUUAUUAGUUUAUUGUAAGAGUUUAUAACUCAGGAAUGGCCAGAUGGAAGAGAUGCAAGGGCAAGGUAUGUGGGAAGGGGUGCAGAGCUUCCAUGCCCUCUCCAGGUGCACCGCUCUUCCAGCACUGUAUCCGGGGCACGCAAAUGCAAGAGCACCUGACAUAGGGGGUUCCAAGCAGAAUAGGUUCGGCCAUGUGCUGCUGACAAAAUCCAAAGGCAAAAGGAUGAGUGGUGGUGAAAUAAGAAAGGGAGUUAUUUCAGUGAGACCAAUGCUGGGAAGACAGUAGACUAGUGUCUCCAAAAUGCUGAAAAUACUUCUAGGUUUAUAUAAAGAAAAUGUGAAACAAAGGUCAGUGAGUACAUGCAAGUGGGCAAUAAAGGUCAGGUGGAUCAUUGUCUUGGGGUCAAUUACUCUGGGGUCUUGCUGGCUUAGGCUAGUCCUUACUGCUUAAGGGUAGUUUCGGUUCCCAUCACAGGGUGCUUUGCACAAAGGAUCGUUUGCCUGAGUUAAGAGAUAAGCUGGAAAGAAGAACUUAAUCAAUUAGAAAGUACAGAUUGAGGUCAAAAUGGAGGUGAUUGAUGUCCUCUUUCAGCACAUUCAUGUGUACACCCACCUGGAAGCCCUUCAAACCUUAUCAUUUUUGGGUAUUUAUGCAGGCUGCAUUACACAGGCAUGAUUGAUUAAAUCAUUGGCAGUUGGCGACUGAUUCAUCCACCAACCUCUCCCUCCACCCACCCUCCCCAAAGGUUGGGGUUGAGAUGGAAAGUUCUAACACUUAAAUCCUACUGUUGACUCCCCUUGCAACCAGCUCCCAGCCUUAGGUGCUUUCCAAAUGUCCCAUUAACAUCACAAAAGACACAUUGAUUACUCUCAUCACAGAAAAUUUGAAGGGUUUUAGGGGGGUCUGUAUCAGGAACAGAACAAUGACUGAAUAUAUAUUUCUUGUUAUAAAUCACAGUAUCACAGCUUGUCUUUCUGAAAUUGUCACUUAAAUGUUGACAUUCCCCCGAGUGUGCCCUAUAAAUCUGUUCUCACUUUAUCUCUAGACCAGGACUCUUUGUCUGGUUCCAUAAAUGUCUCACGGUCAGCAUGACUGAUCUGAAUUCAUCAUGCUCCCACCCCUGAGAUUAUGUCUUCUUUUGAGAUCCUUGUCUCUAAUAGUGACCUGGACUCACUGUGCUCAUGAUAGUCCAGGCUCCAUUCCAAGCAUCUGACAUGCUUUACCUCAUUUUGCCUGUUUGAGAGCCUAGCACAGGAGGUACAGAUAUUUUCCCCAUUCCACACAUCUGAAGCAUAGAGUGAUUUGGUACCUGGCCCCAGUUUCAGCAGCUAGUUGUGCGUAGAGCUGGGGGUUUGGAUGCGGGUUGUGUAAACCAUAACUCUGCUGCGCUGCUUGCUGUUUGCAUUUCCCUGGGUCAGAGACCUGGCCAUCGUUUUUGAUACCUCCCUCUCCCUUGGCUACCACUUCCAGUCCCAUGACUGUCCCAUCACUCUUACCUCCUGAAUGUCACCACCUAGUCCAAGGUAUUGCUUCCUAAACGGAUACAUGCUAUGGUCUCUUAAUAGCUCUUCCUGCCUCUCUGUUUUUUUGCCUUCCCACCCCAUAUACUUCCUAUGUUGCAAUUAAAGAAAUCUCUCUAAAUCAUAAAGUCAGUUGUGUCACUCCACUAAUUAAAAUGCUCCAAUGGUUUCCUAUUGUCUUCAGGUCAAAGCCUGUUAAAGGAUAGACUGAAGCAUAUUAAAAGUUUUUGAAGUUUAUUUGAGCAAAAAUCCAAGUUGGAAUAGAAUCCCGAACUAGAAGUGAUUAGAAAUGCUCCACUGAUAGGAGUCAGGAGAAAGACUUAACACAGAGCAAGGGCAGAAGCAAAAGAAAGGAAGCUAUUUGACUAUAUCUUUUUUUUUUUUUUAAUUUUUAUUUACUUUUGAUAGUCACACACAGAGAGAGAGAGGCAGAGACACAGGCAGAGGGAGAAGCAGGCUCCAUGCACCAGGAGCCCAACGUGGGAUUCGAUCCCGGGUCUCCAGGAUCGCGCCCUGGGCCAAAGGCAGGCACCAAACCGCUGUGCCACCCAGGGAUCCCUCUAUUUGACUAUAUCUUUAAGCCUAGUUGGCUGUUUGUGAUUGGCUGUCCUUCAUAUCAAUUUCUUAACUUUGAGGCAUUUAUGGGCUUAGAUUUUGGUUUGUUUAUGUCAGGCAUUUAGAGCCACUUCAGUCUAAUGGCCUCCUUUUGAAAAUAAAUUGAACACCCUUAACAUUAAUCAAAAGGCAUGAUCUGGCUCUGUUGUCCCUUCCAGUCUCAUUCUUCUUCCCAGACUCUCCCCUCACCUUGUGCUGUCCACAUGGUCCUGUCUUUCUGAACCUUUUUCCUUUCCUGGUUUUUAGAAAGACACCUGCUGUCUCUUACCUCUUGGCCACGGAACUGUUUGAUCCCUUUGGCUGAAACACUUCUCUUUUGCUUUUCCUGGUUUACUACUACCUAUCUCAUCCCUUUAAGGCUUCAGGAUCUCCUUCCUAAGAUCCUAGAAAGGGAAUUUGGUUCCUUGGCUGUGUUCCAGAAGAGCUGCUGCUUGCUUGCCAUGUUCCUGGUCCUGUUCAGAGCACUUCAAAUGUAUUCACUCAUUUAAUUUCACAACCCUUUGAAGUAGGUACAAUUAGCCUUUAGCAGAUGAAGAAGUGGAAGCACAAAAUGUAUCCAUCACAGUCCAUUAGGAAAACAGAUGCUACCCUAGUAAUUCGCCAGAGGAAAUUCAAUACAGGGCUCCACCACAAGGGUACUGCAAGAGCACAAAAAGCAGAUAGUACGUGGCCAAGGCAACCUGGAAAGGAGCAAGAGUAGGAGGCUGCUGCUGUAAGUCACAAGGAUGGGGGUGGGGUGCAGGAGUGGGAGGUGAUGUCACCAGAGCUGAGGUUCUGGGGCUGCCCAACAGGAAUUGGAAUCCAAAGGGGAAAAAAGGAAUUGGAACCCGGGAAGAGUUGCCGCCAUGCCAGAGCUGCCACCCCAAACAGAGGGAAUGAAACACCCUGACAUUUCUCUCCUCUUUACAGAUUAGGGUCUACCAGUGCUUUUCAUUGGCUGAGCUAACCAGACACUCAGUGGCUGAAAUGUAGUUCUCAGAAGUUAUGGGGAAGAUGGGGAAUGGAUUGAGAGCAAACAGGUAAGAGACAGACCCAGAGAAGUUGUGUGACAUUCACCCAAUGUCACACAACUUCUAGGGAGGGCCCAGAUAAUUUGUCCCGAGUGUGUGAUCCAUAAGGACUGAUACAUAUUGCCUCUCUGAGAGCCUUAGGCAAAGCACUGAAUCCCUAUGCCUUAGAAGUAUGAAAAGCAGGUAAUAGUAGUAUCCUCUGUAUAGUGAUAUAAAAAAGAUUAAAUGAAUUAAAAUGUGUCAAAUACUUUGAACAGUGCCUGGAAUAACAUAUGCAAAGUCAAUUCUGGUCCCCAUGACAGAGACAAGUAUCUCAGGAGGAAACAGUGGUCUGAGGGUGGAAGCCAUGCUCAGUACCAUUCCAAGAUUUUUCUCUAUAACUUAAAUCUCCAUUUUACAGAUGAUAAAACUGAAACCCCAGAAGUUUGACUUGUCCUAGAUGACAUAGCAAAAAUGGAAGUAGGACUCAGGAAUUGGAUCCAGAGCCUGUGUGUUUAACCACCAUAUUGAAAUUUUUAUAUAAUAGACUCUCCAGCUAGACUGAAGGUAGUGGCAUAGGCUAUAGGCCUUUUGCUUCUCUUUCCCUAGCACUAGCUCAGUGCCUGGAAGGUACUCA
RNAcentral lists this long non-coding RNA (5335 nucleotides) under Canis lupus familiaris (dog). RNAcentral's name for it is "lncRNA (ENSCAFG00845020804.1)". Lineage: Eukaryota; Metazoa; Chordata; Mammalia; Carnivora; Canidae. The record is from RNAcentral.